ACGUACACUCCUACGGGAGGCAGCAGUGAGGAAUAUUGGACAAUGGGUGGAAGCCUGAUCCAGCCAUCCCGCGUGCAGGAAGACGGCCCUAUGGGUUGUAAACUGCUUUUAUCUGGGGAUAAACCUACUUACGUGUAAGUAGCUGAAGGUACCAGAAGAAUAAGCACCGGCUAACUCCGUGCCAGCAGCCGCGGUAAUACGGAGGGUGCAAGCGUUAUCCGGAUUUAUUGGGUUUAAAGGGUCCGUAGGCGGACUGAUAAGUCAGUGGUGAAAUCCGACAGCUUAACUGUCGAACUGCCAUUGAUACUGUUAGUCUUGAGUAAGGUUGAAGUGGCUGGAAUAAGUAGUGUAGCGGUGAAAUGCAUAGAUAUUACUUAGAACACCAAUUGCGAAGGCAGGUCACUAAGUCUUAACUAACGCUGAUGGACGAAAGCGUGGGGAGCGAACAGGAUUAGAAACCCUGGUAGUCCCAUGA
RNAcentral lists this ribosomal RNA (475 nucleotides) under uncultured organism. RNAcentral describes it as "partial 16S ribosomal RNA". It matches the Rfam family "Bacterial small subunit ribosomal RNA", at positions 329 to 800 of the family's 1533-position model. The record is from RNAcentral.